AUCCACUACAAUCUUACAAAACAUAACUAAUCAAAAUAAUAUAAAAUCAAUCCAAUUUCAAACAAAAAAUUAAUGAGUACUAUAAAGGAAAUAAAAUUUUUAACUUAAAGUAGUGAUAUUUCACGUACCUUGUGCAUUAUGGUUUUACAAGCCAAAAAUUUAAAAUUCUAUCCCGAAUCCUACGCGAGCUGUUCAUCUAUAGCUAAGAGCCCACUACUAGUUGUAGCACCAACUUUAGAAAAUACCUGAACAGAGGCUACAUACCAUGCGCGCUAGAACAUUGCUGGUUUUCAGCUAAAUUUAUAAAUUAAUACAUAUAAUAAAAUUAUACUGUAAGAUUUCAGAGGAUAAGCCCUGUAAUCCUAAGCCAAUAUUCACAUAUUAAACUACGUAGGCUUAAAACCAGCCAUCAACAAUACUUUACCGUAUAAUACCUUUAAUAAAUUAUAUCCUGUGCCACAUAAAGCUGAAAUUUAAGAAAAACUAAAAAUCUUAAACUAAUCUGUAAAAAUAAGUAUUAGUAAAUCACCUAAAUUCUCCUCAUGAACCUCCUAAUUUACCACCCAUAUAACACUUAUAAGGGAACUCGGCAAUAUAUUU
Molecule: ribosomal RNA, 600 nt
Filed under: Eisenia sp. MPL-2014
Lineage: Eukaryota; Metazoa; Annelida; Clitellata; Crassiclitellata; Lumbricidae
Description: partial 16S ribosomal RNA
Source: RNAcentral